CCAGAGCUGCGUCCACACCCCUGAAAAGACCACGAUAUGAGGUGUCUGUUGUUGAUCCCAGCUUCCACCUCAAUGACAGUGCAAGCUCAGUGAACUGUUCAAGCUCUUUCACUGAGGUCCAUCCACAAAAGGACAAGAAGUACAUUGUUCAUGAGAAACAGUUGCUGGGGCUGUUCAGAAGGUGUCCCGUUUGUACCGGUCGUUGUGUUGUGAACACGACAACAGUCGGCACACUGCUCCGUGUGACACAACGGUGUUCAUGCUGUGAGCACUACAAUGAGUGGUCCAGUCAGCCUAUGGUGAACAGCAUCCCAGCAGGAAACCUCCAGCUCUGUGCUGCUGUCCUUUUCACAGGAUCAUCAUUUAGCCAGAUUUCUAAGUUCCUGGGUGCCUUCAAUGUGCAGGGACUGUCCAAGCAGACAUUCUGACGACAUCAGGCAAAGCUGUUAAUUCCAACAGUGGCAGCCACAGCAAGCUGAUAUCAUCCAGGAGGCUACUGA
Molecule: non-coding RNA, 500 nt
Organism: Nothobranchius furzeri (turquoise killifish)
Lineage: Eukaryota; Metazoa; Chordata; Actinopteri; Cyprinodontiformes; Nothobranchiidae
Source: RefSeq, a predicted model, not a curated record